RNAcentral lists this unclassified non-coding RNA (2384 nucleotides) under Hevea brasiliensis (rubber tree). Lineage: Eukaryota; Viridiplantae; Streptophyta; Magnoliopsida; Malpighiales; Euphorbiaceae. The record is from RNAcentral.
CCCCCCCCCCCCUCCCCUCCCCUCCCCUCCUCUUCCUCCCUCCGUCCCCCUGGGGGGCCAAACCUCCCCACCAAAAUAAUAAUGAUAAUAAUAAUUCAAACUUGAAACAUCUUUCAACCUGGAAAUGAAUUCAGUACGGUUAAAUCAAAACUCGUGGUCUAAAAAUUCAAAACAUUUGACAAAUGAAAUGCGUACUUGAAUUACAAAUGAAUGAGAGCUGACAUUCUGCUGCAAGCCGUAUUUACAUUAUGGUUGGUUGUCAUAUAAUGAACUACAAAAUCCUCUGGCAGGUUUCUUUCCCUAUUUUCUAAAGAAUAUAAUCUUUGCCCAGAAUGAUUAUUCUUUUUCUGCAAUUACCACAAAAACGUCCUUGAGUGACCACCUCCUCCUCUCACUUUUAGCUGGCGGAUUUAUUACAGCUCUUUCUGCAUUUGCCAAACGGUAACCGAUGACAAUCUCUCUCCUCUGUCGGGCUCGUAAGAUUAUUUCAUAGAAGCUCAAUUCCUCACCUUCACGAAGGUAGAGAUCUGCUUGCCUUAUAUGCAUCUCAUUUCCCUCCUCCGCAAAGAGCUCUUCCAAUACGUCAUUUAUUUGUUUAUCCUCUGCAACCAUGGCCAAUGCCAUGCUGACAAGUUCAUUUGAUAAAACAUAGUCACUGAUUCUUGACAUGGAUAACAGAUUUUUAGUCCUAGGGUCCAGAAUUUCACUGAUUAUUACUGAUUUAUCAGAAGCCUGUUGCAUCUCCCCAAUCCAAGAGCCUUGUGAGAAGCUUCCUCGGUGAACUUGGGUCACCAUAGCCUCUCUAUAUGGGAGACGCUUUGCCUGAAUAUCACGUAUCAAAAGUAACGUAGCAAGAGAUCUGGAAUCAGCUUGAAUGGCUGAAUCUUCCACCGACUCAUCAGCCAAAAUUAAGAUUGAAUCAAAAGACUCCAAGGGAAGACUCUCCAGGUGACGCCGUAUAACAGCAUUUCCCUCUCGAUUAACCAGCGAUAUAUUCACCAACCUGUUGAUGUCCAGGCCACCAUCAAUAAGCUUCUUUUCCCUUUCUUUUUCUGGGAGCUCAUUGAACAUCCAGAGUUCAGAACCUGGACCAAGGAAUGCCUCUAGAACCUCUAGUUGUCUGACUUUACUCCCCAGGUGAUUUGAAUAAGAUACAGAUGAUAUACAAGUGCAAGUUAGCUGCAACAGAAGAUUAGCAACAAAAUCAUUAGCAAUACAAUAUAUAUUCAAACAAUUCAAUUCAAUUCAAUUCAAAAAACCAGACAUUUGCACCGCUUUGAUUCUCAUUAGUAGACCUUGAUGAAAGAGACAUACAAAAAUACAAAAUAUAGAAUCCACAGCAAACUCAGCAAGGGCAAGGCGAAGGCAAUGGGUAGACAACCAGGGCGCGAUGGGCUGAUUGUAAAGCAAACAUGUAUUUAUUUUGAUAUAAUUCAAAAAAAAAUAAUAAUAUAUCCAAAUAAUUUAUUUUAUUGAUAGGUCUGAUCCCAAUACAUAACACAUAAUAAUCGUUGGCAAAUAACGAUGGGCUAAUCAAAUCACACAACAUACCUCUCCACAUUGAACGCUUGACAUCAUCAACCUGAGAGGCAAGGCGAGCUACGGUUCCCAGUUUGCUGGACUUCUUUUUGCCAUUGGCAGGGAGGCCAUUGACCAUUCUCUUUGCACAAACCGCGUGCAGAUGGUACUCACAGACCGUGCAACGAUAUACUCGACCUGAUCUCUUGGCUCUAUUGCAUUCCCCACAAACGAAACCAGGGUCCCCAUUUGGUACACUCGUGGUAACAGAAGGUAGGAUUCUUAGUGGGUGUGGAUGGACCGAAAUGUUAAUUUCAUUAGACAGUAUUGCACAGCAAGGAUGCAUCUGAUAACUACAGGCGUUGCAUUUGAAAGUGUAGCCUUUGGCAGGCUUCCCACAAACAUCACAUGUUGAUUUUCCACCCUUAACUGGUUUUGAAGAGAACAAGCUUUGGUGAUACAUAUGGAGAGGAUGGGCCUUGAGUUCUUCAGGAACCAUGCCGCAGAACUCAUGUAACUUAAAAUCACAUUGUUGGCAAGUGAACCUCUUGCCUGAACCCUUCUCGUUGCAGCCAGCGCAGGUAAAUAUUUCAGGCACAUCAACCAUAUGGAAGACAUGGUGGGGGUGACCGAAAUGAUAUACUUCUUCUCCAAGGACCACGUUAGAGGCAAGGAAAUCAAGCAGAGAAAUACUUCCGGGAAGAUGUGGUGGUGAUUGAGGUGGAGGGUUUGGGAAUUGCAUUGAAGUAGAAUUUUUCAGGGGAAGUGAAGUAGUAUUCUUCAAUGGCUUGUUGUUCAUGAUGAAGGCUUGGCUUGUGAGAAUGGCUAUAUGGAUUGGACUUGGUGGUGCAAAAUGAACAACAAGC